RNAcentral lists this non-coding RNA (181 nucleotides) under Venatoribacter cucullus. RNAcentral describes it as "Oceanospirillaceae bacterium xL5 6S RNA". It matches the Rfam family "6S / SsrS RNA". From Rfam's summary of the family: E. coli 6S RNA was the first non coding RNA to be sequenced, but its function was unknown until recently. It consists of 184 nucleotides that fold into an extended hairpin structure with a large single-stranded internal bulge. The record is from RNAcentral. Lineage: Bacteria; Pseudomonadati; Pseudomonadota; Gammaproteobacteria; Oceanospirillales; Oceanospirillaceae.
GGCUCCCUGGGGUGUUUGCCAGUCGAUAAAGUCCUGAGCCGAUGCACUUUUAAAUGGAAGGUUUCACGCGCUGAUGUGUGCAUGUCCGCUUGCCGGAAAGCCUGAUUCAGUGCCUGGCCUGCCACCUUGGACCAGUUGGGUUCAAGGCCUUUAUUUACGACAGCGGCACAGCGGGGAGUCC